GCAGUUUCUACUUUGCUGCCUUGCAGCCAGGUACACAGGCAUGCACCACUCCCCCUUUAAAGCUGUGGAAGUAGAGCAAGAACUGGCAGGGAUUUGAAGGAGAUUUCAAUGCAAACAGUCACCUCUGUUUCUGUAAGAGAUUGUUUGUGUGAAUGAGGAAUGCAUACAUCAGGAAAAGAUAAGGUAUGAAAGCCAUCACAAAUGUCCAGAUGGUCAAGAAAAAGUAAGAGACUUGGAAAAAGCAGGAGACAAUCAAAAAACAUCCAUUGUAUCUGAUGCUAAACAUGUUAGCAGCAUUGAUGACCUCAGAGGUGAGGCAGACACCCCUGAAGGCAAGACAACAAAUAGGAGAUAAUGAUGGGAAGCCCAACAAUAACCAUCAAAUGAUAACAGCAGAAAACCCCAAGAUUAACACCACUUGAGGACUAAUGAUUACAGGAUAACACUGAAAAAUGCAUGGACUCAAAUGGGAAUUUACAACUAUAAAGCUGGGGUGUUUUGCCAUGGAACUCUGGGUUCAGUCCUGCAAAGCCUCGGAGCAUCGGAUAGCGACCGACUGAGGCCAGCUCCUCACUUGUGCUCAGUCUAACUGGCCAUUAGAUUGACUCGAGCUACAACAGACUAGAAACUUUGCCAUGCCAAUCAGCAAUUACUUCUGAAGGAACCAAAGCAGCACACGAUGUGCCCUUGAGGGCCAGCUCCUACACACGGGCAGAACACCUCCAUCAGAUAAGGAGGUGAAUGAGGAGGAGUAAGGACAACAUGUUUUGCGAAGUAUUGCAAUCAUCAGACGAGGGUGAUAGUGAGCACAGAGUGUGGAGAGAGACAACAAACAAAAAACUAGAAAUGGAUUGCCAGGAGAAGAGACAGGGCCAGGAGCGAAUAAUACUGGGUCAGGAGUGGAAAAUAAAGCUCAUGGAGGACCAAAGAGAGAUGCUGUGGUCCCUGAUUGCACUGCAGGCAGAACACAUGCAUGCUCAACUCCCCCUGCAGCCCAUACAGAACUGCCUUCCUUGCCCUCUCCAAGCUUCUCCGACACAUUCCUCUCACGUUCCUGGCCCAUUGCAGUACCCCUUGAACUGCACCCCUAGGGACAUUUUCCAUAAAAACAGCUAGACUUACACACAGCUGUGAGAUCCUCACUUCAGAGAGUGCCGCACACUUUCAUGUACCUUGUAAGAAAUGUUAAUGUCUGUACUGAUGUUUAAUAAAAAAAUUGGCUUACAAAGA
This is a long non-coding RNA of Mauremys reevesii (Reeves's turtle), 1230 nucleotides long. RefSeq lists it as uncharacterized. NCBI's taxonomy places the organism in Eukaryota, Metazoa, Chordata, Testudines, Geoemydidae. The transcript is spliced from 4 exons. The record is from RefSeq and is a predicted model, not a curated record.